GGCUCUGCCCUGGAUUUAUCCCCCUCCCUUCUUCUUUUCGCAUUUAUAUAUCUGAAAAUGGCUACCAGGGGCUUGGCGAUCGCUUGAGGAGGCAGAGAUGGCAGACCUACAGCUGUACGUGCAAAUAAAAGCGAGAGCUCACGGAUACCGGCUUUGCUUCCCAGCGAGGACUGAGUAGUUAAUCCAAUAAGAAUCCAAAGGCUUUGUAAGGGCCACCUGUGCAUCGUGCCUGGCUGUGCCGGGGGUUACCCGCUGGAAACCAUCCCAGCCCUGUAGAGAAGUUCACACAACAGUCGGCUUCUCCAGAGAGAUCCGAUACCAGCGCAGGGUGCCCACGCCCAGGGAUCUCUAUUGCCAGGGUUUACAAUGCCGCAGGCACUGGGAAAGGCAGAGCAAGCAAACCGGACCGGGGCUUGAACUGCGUUGAAAACAAGAGUUUGCAGAAGAGAUUUGCAGAUGAAUUCAGCACGACACACAUGAUGCCAGAGGAGCAGUAAUAAACCUGCACCUGUUCCCGUACCCGCCUUGCCAGUCUCGAGCCUAGGUACAGAGCUGGGCUGGUUUUCUGGCUGAAAAGGCCACUUGGAUUUAUUGUGUUUUCCCUUCCCAGAGCUUUAGCAUGGAUAAGAAAUGUGAAAAAAAGGACUUAAGUGCU
RNAcentral lists this long non-coding RNA (655 nucleotides) under Strigops habroptila (Kakapo). Its description in RNAcentral is "lncRNA (ENSSHBG00005007210.1)". Lineage: Eukaryota; Metazoa; Chordata; Aves; Psittaciformes; Psittacidae. The record is from RNAcentral.